RNAcentral lists this ribosomal RNA (750 nucleotides) under uncultured bacterium. RNAcentral's name for it is "bacterial SSU rRNA". It matches the Rfam family "Bacterial small subunit ribosomal RNA", at positions 60 to 801 of the family's 1533-position model. The record is from RNAcentral.
AGUCGAGGGGCAUCAGGAAGAAGCUUGCUUUCUUUGCUGGCGACCGGCGCACGGGUGAGUAACACGUAUCCAACCUGCCCUUUACUCGGGGAUAGCCUUUCGAAAGAAAGAUUAAUACCCGAUGGGAUAAUUAUUCCGCAUGGUUUGAUUAUUAAAGGAUUCCGGUAAAGGAUGGGGAUGCGUUCCAUUAGGUUGUUGGUGAGGUAACGGCUCACCAAGCCUUCGAUGGAUAGGGGUUCUGAGAGGAAGGUCCCCCACAUUGGAACUGAGACACGGUCCAAACUCCUACGGGAGGCAGCAGUGAGGAAUAUUGGUCAAUGGGCGCUAGCCUGAACCAGCCAAGUAGCGUGAAGGAUGAAGGCUCUAUGGGUCGUAAACUUCUUUUAUAUAAGAAUAAAGUGCAGUAUGUAUACUGUUUUGUAUGUAUUAUAUGAAUAAGGAUCGGCUAACUCCGUGCCAGCAGCCGCGGUAAUACGGAGGAUCCGAGCGUUAUCCGGAUUUAUUGGGUUUAAAGGGAGCGUAGGUGGACUGGUAAGUCAGUUGUGAAAGUUUGCGGCUCAACCGUAAAAUUGCAGUUGAUACUGUCAGUCUUGAGUACAGUAGAGGUGGGCGGAAUUCGUGGUGUAGCGGUGAAAUGCUUAGAUAUCACGAAGAACUCCGAUUGCGAAGGCAGCUCACUGGACUGCAACUGACACUGAUGCUCGAAAGUGUGGGUAUCAAACAGGAUUAGAUACCCUGGUAGUCCACACA